GUCCCAUCAAUGUCCCCACAGGUGUCCCAAAGCCACCCCAGGGUGUCCCCUCCUGGUUGACCCCAAGCCACUCCUGGGUGUCCCAAGGAUGUCCCAGGAUGUCCCAAAGCCACCCCAGGGUGUCCCAGGAGCUCUCAGGGUGUCCCAUGGGUGCCCCAGACCCACCCGAGGUUGUCACUUCAAGGUGUCCCAUGGAUGUCCCAAAGCCACCCCAGGGUGUCCCAUGGGUGUCCCACAGAUGUCCCAGAGCCACCUCAGGUUAUCCCCUCCAGGGUGUCCCAUGGAUGUCCCAAGGCCACCCCAAGGUGUCCCAAAGCCACCAAUGGGUGUCCCAUGGGUGUCCCCUCCAGGGUGUCCCAGGGUGUCCCAGAGCCACCCCUGGGUGUCCCAAAGCCACCCCUGGAUGUCCCAUGGAUGUCCCAAAGCCACCUCAGGACUCUUCAGAGCCACCCCUGGGUGUCCCAGGAGCUCUCAGGGUGUCCCAUGGGUGUCCCAAAGCCACAAAGCCCCCCCAAGGUGUCCCAGAGCCACCACAGAUUGUCCCCUCCAGGGUGUCCCAAGGCCACCUGAGAUCUCCCAGGAUCCUUUAGGAUGUCCCAGAGCCACCCCAGGGUGUCCCAUCAAUGUCCCACGGGUGUCCCCAGGAUGUUCCAAAGCCACCCCGCAUUGUCCCCUCCAGGAUGUCCCAGGACCAUCGAGGCCACCCCAGGACCCUUUAGGGUGUCCCACGGAUGUCCCAAAGCCACCUCAGGUUGUCACCUCCAGGGUGUCCCAUGAAUGUCCCAAGGCCACCCCAAGGUGUCCCAAAGCCACCCAUGGGUGUCCCAAGGAUGUCCCAGGACCAUCCAGGCCACCCCAGGACUCUUCAGGAUGUCCCAGAGCCAUCCCAGGGUGUCCCAAAGCCACCCCAGGGUGUCCCACAGGGUGUCCCCUCCAGGAUGUCCCCUCCAGGGUGACCCAUGGAUGUCCCACAGCUACCUCACAAUGUCCCAAGGAUGUCCCAAAGCCACCCCACGGUGUCCCAGAGCCACCACAGGUUGUCCCCUCCUGGGUGUCCCAAAGCCACCCCAGGGUGUCCCAUGGGUGUCCCAGGAUGUCCCACGGGUGUCCCAGAGCCACCCCAGGGUGUCACUUCAAGGUGUCCCAAGGAUGUCCCAGGACCCUCCAGGCCACCCCAGGACUCUUCAGGAUGUCCCAAAGCCACCCAUGGGUGUCCCACCAAUGUCCCAAAGCCACCUCAGGACUCUUCAGAGCCACCCAUGGGUGUCCCAGGAUGUCCCACAGAUGUCUCAGAGUCACCCCAGGGUGUCCCCAUCUGGAUGUCCCAAAGCCACCCCAGAAUGUCCCAUGGGUGUCCCAUGAAUGUCCCAGAGCCACCCCAAGGUGUCCCAUAAAUGUCCCCAGGAUGUCCCAAAGCCACCCAAGGAUGUCCCAGGGAUGUCCCAAAACCACCACAGGUCGUCCCCUUCAGGAUGUCUCAGAGCCACCCCAAGGUGUCCCUUCCAGGGUGUCCCAAGGAUGUCCCAAAGCCACCCCUGGGUGUCCCAUAAAUGUCCCAUGGAUGUCCCCUGAAUGUCCCAAAGCCACCUCAGGGUGUCCCAGGAGCUCCCAGGGUGUCCCAGGGAUGUCCCAAAGCCACCAGAACCACUGAGGACACCCCGAGCCCCUCCAGGCCACCCCUGGGUGUCCCAUAAAUGCCCCAAGAUGUCCACGGGAUGUCCCAAAGCCACCCCAAGGUGUCUCCUCUAGGAUGUCCCAAAGCCACCACAGGUUGUCUCCUUCAGGAUGUCCCAAAGCCACCCAAGG
Zonotrichia albicollis (white-throated sparrow) is the source of this 1806-nucleotide long non-coding RNA. Lineage: Eukaryota; Metazoa; Chordata; Aves; Passeriformes; Passerellidae. The record is from Ensembl.